RNAcentral lists this long non-coding RNA (324 nucleotides) under Spirodela polyrhiza (greater duckweed). RNAcentral describes it as "long non-coding RNA (SPOL_LNC000673)". Lineage: Eukaryota; Viridiplantae; Streptophyta; Magnoliopsida; Alismatales; Araceae. The record is from RNAcentral.
UUGCGGAGCCCUCUCUUGCUCCUCCUCGAGCUCCCUGUUCAUGGUCCUCUGCGGGUAGGGCUCAGGGGGAAGCGGGGUCUCUGUGAGCCUUUCUUCUUGCUCGUCUUGUCGGGAAGACGAUGGCGCUCGAUCUGAUGGGCCUGUCGAGGAUGGACGAGCAGCUCGCGAUUCAGGAGGCGGCGGCGGCGGGCAUCCGCAGCAUGGAGCACCUCGUCUUCCAGCUCUCCGGGCCUGCCCGGCACAACCAAGUGGACUGCAGGGAGAUCGCCGAUUUCACGGUGACCAAGUUCAAGAAGGUCAUCUCCUUGCUGAAUCGGACAGGCC